RNAcentral lists this transfer-messenger RNA (361 nucleotides) under Clostridia. Its description in RNAcentral is "CAG-492 sp000434015 Standard tmRNA". It matches the Rfam family "transfer-messenger RNA". From Rfam's summary of the family: Bacterial tmRNA, also known as 10Sa RNA or SsrA, is named for its dual tRNA and mRNA-like properties. Its role is to liberate the mRNA from a stalled ribosome. The record is from RNAcentral. RNAcentral also lists the same sequence under 3 other names. Lineage: Bacteria; Bacillati; Bacillota.
GGGGGUGUAUUUGGUUUCGACAAUAAUUUAGAAGUAUAAAUAGCGAGUAGUGGAUGGUUGCUUUGGCCACUAUAAAAAAGCAAAAAUAAAUAUAAACGCUGAUAAUAACGAAGAAUUAGCAUUCGCUGCUUAAUUUUAGCAGCACGUCUUAUCAUUAAUGCCCACGUUUUUGAAUAAGGCGACGAAUUAGUGGGAAACGAAACUAUUUUUUUCUAUAGGAAAUAGUGGGUAGAAAUAUAGAUACCUAGAAGUAAGUAUGUUUGUUUACGUAUUUUUAGGAAAUUUAAAUAACAAACUGCACUCGGAGAAAUUUAUAUGGAAGAGUUAUUGGACAGGAGUUCGACUCUCCUCACCUCCACCA